GAUCAUGGCUCAGGAUGAACGCUAGCUACAGGCUUAACACAUGCAAGUCGAGGGGCAGCAUGGUCUUAGCUUGCUAAGGCCGAUGGCGACCGGCGCACGGGUGAGUAACACGUAUCCAACCUGCCGAUAACUCGGGGAUAGCCUUUCGAAAGAAAGAUUAAUACCCGAUGGCAUAAUUAGACCGCAUGGUCUUAUUAUUAAAGAAUUUCGGUUAUCGAUGGGGAUGCGUUCCAUUAGG
Molecule: ribosomal RNA, 238 nt
Filed under: uncultured bacterium
Lineage: Bacteria
Description: partial 16S ribosomal RNA
Rfam family: Bacterial small subunit ribosomal RNA
Source: RNAcentral